RNAcentral lists this ribosomal RNA (414 nucleotides) under uncultured eukaryote. Its description in RNAcentral is "SSU rRNA". It matches the Rfam family "Eukaryotic small subunit ribosomal RNA", at positions 567 to 990 of the family's 1831-position model. The record is from RNAcentral.
CCAGCAGCUGCGGUAAUUCCAGCUCUAAUAGCGUAUAUUAAAGUUGUUGCAGUUAAAAAGCUCGUAGUCGGAAGUCGGGCUCGGGCAGGCUGUCGGCCUCGGUUGGGCAGCUUGCUUGGGUCUUCUAGCUCGGGGGCCCCGUGCCAUUUAACCGUGGUGCGCGGGAACACGGGCCGUUUACUUUGAAAAAAUUAGAGUGUUCAAAGCAGGCCUACGCUUGAAUACAUUAGCAUGGAAUAAUGGAAUAGGAACUCGUUUCUAUUUUGUUGGUUUUCGGAAAUCGAGUUAAUGAUUAAUAGGGACAAUUGGGGGCAUUAGUAUUCAGACGACAGAGGUGAAAUUCUUGGACCGUCUGAAGACUAACUACUGCGAAAGCAUUUGCCAAGAGUGUUUUCAUUAAUCAAGAACGAAAGU